RNAcentral lists this ribosomal RNA (253 nucleotides) under uncultured bacterium. RNAcentral describes it as "partial 16S ribosomal RNA". It matches the Rfam family "Bacterial small subunit ribosomal RNA", at positions 524 to 776 of the family's 1533-position model. The record is from RNAcentral.
UACGUAGGGGGCAAGCGUUGUCCGGAAUUAUUGGGCGUAAAGAGCGCGUAGGCGGUCCGAUAAGUCGGCUGUGAAAGUCAGGGGCUCAACCCUUGAAAGCCGGCCGAUACUGUCGGACUAGAGUCCGGAAGAGGCAAGUGGAAUUCCCGGUGUAGCGGUGAAAUGCGCAGAUAUCAGGAGGAACACCGGUGGCGAAGGCGGCACUCUGGGCCGGUACUGACGCUGAGGAGCGAAAGCGUGGGGAGCGAACAGG